Molecule: unclassified non-coding RNA, 2651 nt
Filed under: Leishmania donovani
Lineage: Eukaryota; Euglenozoa; Kinetoplastea; Trypanosomatida; Trypanosomatidae
Description: gene:LdHU3.03.0290(CDS-product:hypothetical_prote in)
Source: RNAcentral
CCACGCCGAUCUCUGCGCAGGGACCGCCUCUCUCCUGUAAUCCUUUUCCAUAGUCUUUCUCGCGGUGUGCGCGCACUCUCGCAUGCCGCACGCCUCCUCGCUCUCUGCCCGAAAGCCGUCUUUGCGCGUGCACACCCACGAAGUCAUCGGACGAGCCUUUCCUUGUUUUCUGCCUUGUCCUCAUUCUUAGCGGAUACGUGGCGCGCCAUCGCUGCACGAGCCGCUGCAGCCAGCUGUCUGGCGAGCCACUCCGCCAUCCUUCACUUACCGAGUAGCGCGUUAUGCCCUACCACUGCCAUCCGCGCACUUCACAUAUCCGUCGGCUCCGCCAUCUUCAAGGCAGCUCGCACGGCAGAAUGUAGGCCGCGACUGCCGCCCCUGCAGUGCCGAGGCAGCUAAUGGAGCGCGACAAGGUUGAUGCCACAGCUGGCGGACUCAUGCGCGUCAACACAGGCGUCUUUCAGGCCUGCGCUGAUGCGCUUGAAAAGCGGUACGAGGCUGAGGUUGAAGCAUCUCGGCACGUCGACGGUGCCGACGCCGUGCGUGUACAUCUACAAGGGCGGCGUGCACGAUGCUACCGAGCUCCGCAACCCUCACCCGGGCGGCGCUCAGAUCACGCGGGACCACCACGGCAAGGGCGUCCACGCAGGUGUUCCACGACGAGUGUGACCUCCAUGCUUACACAAAGAGCGCACUGAACAUGCUGCCGCGAUACCGUGCCAGCUCCAUGCUCGGUCCGCUCGGCGAGUACGAGAAGCACCAGCGCGAGAUGGCCUACAAGGACUUCACCAUCCGCCGCGAUCGCGGGCUGGUGGGGCAAGCGAUGUUCCUCGAUCUCCCAUAGUACAUGCACUUGAUCAAUACUCCCCCCCCCCCAUCUGCGUCCCGCGCUGCGGCCUGUUUGACUUGAGCCUGAUCUUCUUCUGCACCAAGUGCUGGGCCGUCAUGAUCCUCUGGCUGCCUCUGAGCCUCUUGUGGACCGUGCGUGGCGUCAGGCGCGACUACACGCAGCUGAGCCCGGCGUGGGGAAGCCGCUUCGACGCCUACCUCUACUACCCGAACAUGAACUGGAUCUUCCAGAACUACCCAGCCGCCGUGGGCCCGUCCAUGGCAUCGUACAUCGCCCGCCAGCGCCACAGAUGCGAGGGCCAUCGCAGACGCCCAGUACCAACACGCGGUCGAAGUCAUCGACUUCAGCCCGCUCUUCGUGCUGGUCUUCUUCCUCUUUUGGGGUUGCGCUGUGGAAGUUCAUGGAGUAUUUGAUCCACCGCAUCGUCUUCCACUUCGAGAGCGCACCUCCCGAGCCGCUCUUCGACAAUCCGCUCUGCAAGCUGCUGCACCUCUUGCUCCACGGCAUUCACCACAUCACUCCGAUGGACACCCGACCGUCUUGUCUUCCCGCCGGUGCUGCUCGUCGUGGCCAGUACGCUCACCUACAACGGCUACGGCUACCCCGCGGCGAGGCAGCUGCCUCGAUAUCGUGGCCGGCGGUGUUGUGUGCGGCUACGGCCUGUACGACGACAUUCAUUACGUCAUCCACCACCGCGACCCCGCCAACUUCUACUUCAAGGACCUGAAGCGGUACCACCACGCGCACCACAACGUCGAUGACACCGGCGGCUGCGGCCUCGGCACCACGUUCUGAGACAUUUUCUAUGGCAAGGCGUGCCAGAAGAGCCAAGCGGGCGACACCGUGUCUCUCCGUGUGCAUGAACGGAGAAAGGGAGACGUCGCGGGGUAGGGGGGACGAGGAUCGGGGCGGGUGCCGUUGUUGCACGAAGCGAGCGAGCGACGCGACGCGGUUGUGGCCAACGGUGAAACGCUUCGCUCCUCUUCGUCCAGCGGCUGCUGUCACGUACAUGUGUGUGCCAGCCACCGGCCACACUCACCCUCAUCCGUGCAUGAAAAGCGGAGGGGGAGGAGGCGAGAGGGGCACGUCUGGCGUGCAACAGGUGUGCGCAUACUUGCAUGCAUGCCCAUGCCCAUGUAUCCUCAUGUGCGUGUGCCCAUACGAGCGCGAUACGUCUCCCUGCCUCUUCCACGUGUUCAACCAUCUUUUCGCUGCUCUCCUCCGUGCCCCCGGAGGACAGGGGAGGGCGCAUCCAUACAUGCGCUGAGACGUGCGUGACAUCGCAAGGCCCAGCGCACGCACACCCCACUGUGUCUGUCUGUGUGUGUGUGUGUGUGUGUGUGUGUGUGUGUGUGUGUGUGUGUGUGUGUCGAGGGGAAUGGGGGGGCUGAGUGGGCCCGUUUUUCUGUAACGCGCGUGCCCAUGGCCGGCAUCGCGCCAUGCGAGGGGGCCGGUGGGUCGAGUGGUGUUUGGGUUCUCGGUGUGUUGUGUGGCAGCGGGACGGUGUGGGCGAAGGUGGAAGGAAAAAGAGAGGCGGUGUUGCCCACGGCGCUUCCGCCCCGCACGCCUCUCCCCCACUCAUCCCCGCCUCCGCUUUAGUCAGCAUACUCUGCCCCUUCGUCCAUCGUCUCCCUCUUCUCGUCUUGUCGUGUCCGUGAGAUGAACCCGGCGAGAGAGCGACGCCCACGCCGUCGGACCGCAAACUUCUGAUGUAACCCAAAACACACACACACACGCGCGCGAGAAGUGAAGAGAUCGAGCGCACAAACAACAGUGUACAAUGGUGUCUCUCCCUCUUUCG